AAGCAGCAUAUUGCUGGGGCUCUUAGUCUCUGCCCUGGCUGGUACCUCCUGGAAGUACAGAUGCCCUAAUAUCACGAGUCAAGCUAAGCUGCUCGGUGUCACAGCAAAGGAGGCUAAUGCAUUUGUUGGCAGUGACAGGAAGAGCCUCGGAAAUCUGAAUCGACAACUGAAAAGUCCUCGAUGAAAGGAGAAGAGGGGGAGCCAGAUAAUCAAUAAGGCAAGGAGGAAGCAGGAUAUUUGAUGUACAGCAGCAGCAGUGAAGGGCUGGGUUCUUUUUAUUUCAUCAUUUUAAAAACAUGGUUUAUAAACACCCUCUUGGAAUCUUGAAAGUAAUAUUCCAUUUGGGGUGCAGAUACCAUGUUGAUGAGCAUGCUUCAAAUGCCUAGCUAGCUACGAUACACCAACUGUCAAGUAGCUCAAACCUAAAUUAGGUUUUGUUGAAAAAUAGAAAAUCUAUUAUGAACAGAAACUUUCACUAUUUCCUUUUAUAUUUGCUAUGAAAACAGGGAGGUUGGAAAAAAAAAUUUAACUUCCCCUACAGUGUUUGAAAUCAGCCUCAGCUAGAGCAAAGGAAUCAGAAUGUGAACAGUGACUAGAAAUAAAACAGGAAAUUACCAGACCCUCUGAGCUGAGUAUAGUAGAAAAAGUAGGAAAAGUGGAAACUCAAUUAAAAAAAUUUCUUAAAUUGUACUAAUCUAAAUUGGAUCACAUACAUUUAUAACUGUACCAUGACAUAUCAAUAAAUAAAGAAAUAGCGUAUUGUCAAAAUGCUAUACAAUGCUGAAUAAAUAAAGUGUAGAGGGUUGUAUCAUUUUUUUUUUAAAGAGACAAG
Long non-coding RNA from Mauremys reevesii (Reeves's turtle), 832 nucleotides. RefSeq lists it as uncharacterized. The record is from RefSeq and is a predicted model, not a curated record. NCBI's taxonomy places the organism in Eukaryota, Metazoa, Chordata, Testudines, Geoemydidae. The transcript is spliced from 4 exons.